Molecule: long non-coding RNA, 640 nt
Filed under: Nicotiana benthamiana
Lineage: Eukaryota; Viridiplantae; Streptophyta; Magnoliopsida; Solanales; Solanaceae
Description: long non-coding RNA (NBEN_LNC033571)
Source: RNAcentral
ACAUUUUCUUGUAUAACAAACCCUAUUUUGUGUAACGAUUUGAGAUCAAUUACGAAAUGUGAGGUAGCUCAGUGGAUCAGGUGGCAUCCGAGAGGACAUGUAGUGUUGGCAGGUUCAGAGGAUUCUUCCAUUUGGAUGUGGAACGCUGAUAACUGUGCUUUCAUGAACACGUUUUUAGGUCAUAGUGGUAGUGUAACCUGUGGUGGUUUCACUCAUGAUGGUACUUCUCUGUUUCUCUGGUAAUAUUUCCAGUGUUUACCUCCUUUUGAGUAGAACUUAUGUCUCUUAUAUAUGCUUGCCGGGAAUAUAAGAGUGUGGAACAUAACUUCAGGUGGUCUGAAUGGCACACUUGAAGGUCCUGGAGGCGGAAUAGAGGUGAAGCAUUUUCUUGUGUGUUACAAAUCCUAUUUUUGUGUAACAAUUUGAGAUCAAUUAUGAAAUAUGAGGUUGCUCAGUGGAUCAGGUGGCAUCCGAGAGGACAUGUGGUGUUGGCAGGUUCAGAGGAUUCUUCCAUUUGGAUGUGGAAUGCUGAUAACUGUGCUUUCAUGAACACGUUUUUAGGUCAUAGUGGUAGUGUAACCUGUGGUGGUUUCACUCCUGAUGGUACUUCUCUGUUUCUCUGGUAAUAUUUCCAGUGUUU